Molecule: ribosomal RNA, 591 nt
Filed under: uncultured bacterium
Lineage: Bacteria
Description: bacterial SSU rRNA
Rfam family: Bacterial small subunit ribosomal RNA
Source: RNAcentral
GCUGAGUCUGCGUCCUAUCAGCUAGUUGGUAGGGUAACGGCCUACCAAGGCGACGACGGGUAGCUGGUCUGAGAGGAUGAUCAGCCACACUGGCACUGGAACACGGGCCAGACUCCUACGGGAGGCAGCAGUGAGGAAUUUUGCGCAAUGGGGGAAACCCUGACGCAGCAACGCCGCGUGGGUGAUGAAGGCCUUCGGGUCGUAAAGCCCUGUCAGGUGGGAAGAAUGUCCUGGGGAUGAAAAAGCCUUGGGAGUGACGGUACCACCAGAGGAAGCACCGGCUAACUCCGUGCCAGCAGCCGCGGUAAUACGGAGGGUGCGAGCGUUAUUCGGAAUUACUGGGCGUAAAGCGCGUGUAGGCGGCUUGACAAGUCUGAUGUGAAAGCCCUGGGCUCAACCUGGGAAGUGCAUUGGAAACUGUCAGGCUUGAGUACCGGAGAGGAUGGGGGAAUUCCCGGUGUAGAGGUGAAAUUCGUAGAGAUCGGGAGGAAUACCAGUGGCGAAGGCGCCCAUCUGGACGGUAACUGACGCUGAGACGCGAAAGCGUGGGGAGCAAACAGGAUUAGAUACCCUGGUAGUCCACGCUGUAAA